Molecule: ribosomal RNA, 598 nt
Filed under: uncultured bacterium
Lineage: Bacteria
Description: bacterial SSU rRNA
Rfam family: Bacterial small subunit ribosomal RNA
Source: RNAcentral
AGUAACACGUGAGUAACCUGCCCUUGACUCUGGGAUAACUGCUAGAAAUGGUAGCUAAUACCGGAUACGACCCUCGGCCGCAUGGUCAGGGGGUGGAAAGAAUUUUGGUCAAGGAUGGACUCGCGGCCUAUCAGGUGGUUGGUGAGGUAAUGGCUCACCAAGCCUACGACGGGUAGCCGGCCUGAGAGGGUGACCGGCCACACUGGGACUGAGACACGGCCCAGACUCCUACGGGAGGCAGCAGUGGGGAAUAUUGCACAAUGGGCGAAAGCCUGAUGCAGCAACGCCGCGUGAGGGACGACGGCCUUCGGGUUGUAAACCUCUUUUAGUAGGGAAGAAGCGAAAGUGACGGUACCUGCAGAAAAAGCACCGGCUAACUACGUGCCAGCAGCCGCGGUAAUACGUAGGGUGCAAGCGUUGCCCGGAAUUAUUGGGCGUAAAGAGCUCGUAGGCGGUUUGUCGCGUCUGCUGUGAAAUCCGGAGGCUCAACCUCCGGCCUGCAGUGGGUACGGGCAGACUAGAGUGCGGUAGGGGAGAUUGGAAUUCCUGGUGUAGCGGUGGAAUGCGCAGAUAUCAGGAGGAACACCAAUGGCGAAGG